GGGAGGCAAAAAGGUAUCACGCGUCGCCGUAAGUCCUUGCUACGUAACAACAAUUAUUUUUGCCGCUGCGUUCGCAAUGCAGAGGUCGAGGGUUCGACUCCCUUCCGCUCCA
This 112-nucleotide transfer RNA is filed under the name Planctomycetaceae bacterium. Its description in RNAcentral is "tRNA-Ala". It matches the Rfam family "tRNA". Rfam says of the family: Transfer RNA (tRNA) molecules are approximately 80 nucleotides in length. Their secondary structure includes four short double-helical elements and three loops (D, anti-codon, and T loops). Further hydrogen bonds mediate the characteristic L-shaped molecular structure. tRNAs have two regions of fundamental functional importance: the anti-codon, which is responsible for specific mRNA codon recognition, and the 3' end, to which the tRNAs corresponding amino acid is attached (by aminoacyl-tRNA synthetases). tRNAs cope with the degeneracy of the genetic code in two manners: having more than one tRNA (with a specific anti-codon) for a particular amino acid; and 'wobble' base-pairing, i.e. permitting non-standard base-pairing at the 3rd anti-codon position. Lineage: Bacteria; Pseudomonadati; Planctomycetota; Planctomycetia; Planctomycetales; Planctomycetaceae. The record is from RNAcentral.